Molecule: ribosomal RNA, 397 nt
Filed under: uncultured bacterium
Lineage: Bacteria
Description: partial 16S ribosomal RNA
Rfam family: Bacterial small subunit ribosomal RNA
Source: RNAcentral
AUACGUAGGUGGCGCGCGUUGUCCGGAAUUACUGGGUGUAAAGGGCGUGUAGGCGGGAUGUCAAGUCAGAUGUGAAAUACCGAGGCUUAACUUCGGGGGUGCAUCUGAAACUGAUAUUCUUGAGUGUCGGAGAGGAAAGUGGAAUUCCCAGUGUAGCGGUGAACUGCGUAGAGAUUGGGAGGAACACCAGUGGCGAAGGCGGCUUUCUGGACGAUAACUGACGCUGAGGCGCGAAAGCGUGGGUAGCAAACAGGAUUAGAUACCCUGGUAGUCCACGCUGUAAACGAUGGAUACUAGGUGUAGGAGGUAUCGACCCCUUCUGUGCCGGGGUUAACACAAUAAGUAUCCCACCUGGGGAGUACGGCCGCAAGGCUGAAACUCAAAUGAAUUGACGGGG